AAGGAAGCACACUCGGGUCAUAGAUUAAGCCAUGCAAGUGCAAGUUCAGGGUAACUUAAACUGCGAACAGCUCAUUAACACACUUUGAAUCGUCUUGAUAGCUUCUUCGGAAUUAUAUGGAUAGCAGGAGUAAACUCGUGCUAGUACAUGCAAUUGUUUCGUUUUCUUGGAUAAGAAAUGAAAAAGUUCACCCUUUUUAGGGGAUAUCAAACGAUAGAGUGCCCUAUCAGCUUGUACUUAGGAUCUUUACCUAGGUAGGCUAUCACGGGUAACGGGCGGUUACCGUUGUACUGCCGGAGAAGGCGCCUUAGAGAUAGCGACUAUACCCAUGGGAAGCAGCAGGCGCGAAACUUUCCCACUCUUCAACGAAGGAGGGGGUAAUGACCAGUCUUUUUAAAGUAGACUUUAAUCUUUCAAAUUUUAGUUAGCAAGCAGAGGGCUAGUCUGGUGCCAGCAGCUGCGGUAAUUCCAGCUCUGCUAGUUUGCUCCCAUAUUGUUGCAGUUAAAACGCCCGUAGUCUGUAUUUUCUUGAAACUGUGAAUAAAUCAGAACGCUUAGGGUUCUUUCUUGAGAGAAUGACUUUGCGCAGUCUUUUAAUUUUUCCAAUGGAAAACGCAAUGAGAGCCAUCGGGGGUAGCUCUAUUCCAUGGCGAGCGGUGGAAUGCUCUGACCCAUGAGGAGAGAAUCGAAAGCGAAAGCAACUACCUAGAGGGUUUCUGUCGAUCAAGGGCGAGAGUAGGAUUAUCGAACCGGAUUAGAGACCCGGGUAGUUCCUACUGUAAACUAUGCCGACAGGAUCGUAUUUUUUUCGGAAAGUACGGUUCAAAAGAAAUUUAGUUCAUGGGCUCUGGGGGAACUACGACCGCAAGGCUGAAACUUGAAGGAAUUGACGGAAGGGCACACCAGGGGUGGAGCCUGUGGCUCAAUUUGAAUCAACACGGGGAAACUUACCAGGACCAGGUGUUUUUUGUGACUGACCGUCUAAAGAGCGUUCAGGAUAUUACUUGUGGUGGUGCAUGGCCGUUGGUAGUGCGUGGGUUGACCUGUCUAGCGUUGAUUCAGCUAACGAGCGAGAUUAUCGCCUCUUUUUGUUAAGAGGGACUCCUUUUUCAAAAAAGCGGAAGAGGGUAGCAAUAACAGGUCCGUGAUGUCCUUUAGAUGCUCUGGGCUGCACGCGUGCUACAAUGUGAGUUUCAAACAGUUUGCUAUCAUGAGAGGGAAAGCUAAUCUGUGAAUAUCUCACGUAGUUGGGAUUGACUGUUGUAAUCACAGUCAUGAACUAGGAAUCCCUUGUAAAUGUGUGUCAACAUCGCACGUUGAAUAAGUCCCUGCCCUUUGUACACACCGCCCGUCGCUCCUACCGAUUGAAUGACUCGGUGAAAUUACUAAUUCCUUCGGGAGGAGGUAAUUAAAUCACGUUAUUUAGAGGAAGGAGAAGUCGUAACAAGGUAACG
This 1454-nucleotide ribosomal RNA is filed under the name uncultured Parabasalia sp. RNAcentral describes it as "SSU rRNA". It matches the Rfam family "Eukaryotic small subunit ribosomal RNA". The record is from RNAcentral. Lineage: Eukaryota; Parabasalia.